CGGCGAGUGAAGCGGCAACAGCUCAAAUUUGAAAUCUGGCUCUUUUAGAGUCCGAGUUGUAAUUUGCAGAGGGCGCUUUGGCUUUGGCAGCGGUCCAAGUUCCUUGGAACAGGACGUCACAGAGGGUGAGAAUCCCGUACGUGGUCGCUGGCUAUUGCCGUGUAAAGCCCCUUCGACGAGUCGAGUUGUUUGGGAAUGCAGCUCUAAAUGGGAGGUACAUUUCUUCUAAAGCUAAAUAUUGGCCAGAGACCGAUAGCGCACAAGUAGAGUGAUCGAAAGAUGAAAAGCACUUUGGAAAGAGAGUCAAACAGCACGUGAAAUUGUUGAAAGGGAAGCGCUUGCAGCCAGACUUGCUUACAGUUGCUCAUCCGGGUUUCUACCCGGUGCACUCUUCUGUAGGCAGGCCAGCAUCAGUUUGGGCGGUAGGAUAAAGGUCUCUGUCACGUACCUCCUUUCGGGGAGGCCUUAUAGGGGAGACGACAUACUACCAGCCUGGACUGAGGUCCGCGCAUCUGCUAGGAUGCUGGCGUAAUGGCUGUAAGCGGCCCGUCUUGAAACACGGACCAAGGAGUCUAACAUCUAUGCGAGUGUUUGGGUGUCAAGCCCGAGCGCGUAAUGAAAGUGAACGGAGGUGGGAACCCGCAAGGGUGCACCAUCGACCGAUCCUGAUGUCUUCGGAAGGAUUUGAGUAAGAGCAUG
Molecule: ribosomal RNA, 699 nt
Filed under: Alternaria sp. TU03_2
Lineage: Eukaryota; Fungi; Ascomycota; Dothideomycetes; Pleosporales; Pleosporaceae
Also listed under: 1 other name
Description: eukaryotic LSU rRNA
Rfam family: Eukaryotic large subunit ribosomal RNA
Source: RNAcentral